This 586-nucleotide ribosomal RNA is filed under the name Salmonella enterica. RNAcentral describes it as "bacterial SSU rRNA". It matches the Rfam family "Bacterial small subunit ribosomal RNA", at positions 87 to 669 of the family's 1533-position model. The record is from RNAcentral. RNAcentral also lists the same sequence under 1 other name. Lineage: Bacteria; Pseudomonadati; Pseudomonadota; Gammaproteobacteria; Enterobacterales; Enterobacteriaceae.
GCUGACGAGUGGCGGACGGGUGAGUAAUGUCUGGGAAACUGCCUGAUGGAGGGGGAUAACUACUGGAAACGGUGGCUAAUACCGCAUAACGUCGCAAGACCAAAGAGGGGGACCUUCGGGCCUCUUGCCAUCAGAUGUGCCCAGAUGGGAUUAGCUUGUUGGUGAGGUAACGGCUCACCAAGGCGACGAUCCCUAGCUGGUCUGAGAGGAUGACCAGCCACACUGGAACUGAGACACGGUCCAGACUCCUACGGGAGGCAGCAGUGGGGAAUAUUGCACAAUGGGCGCAAGCCUGAUGCAGCCAUGCCGCGUGUAUGAAGAAGGCCUUCGGGUUGUAAAGUACUUUCAGCGGGGAGGAAGGUGUUGUGGUUAAUAACCGCAGCAAUUGACGUUACCCGCAGAAGAAGCACCGGCUAACUCCGUGCCAGCAGCCGCGGUAAUACGGAGGGUGCAAGCGUUAAUCGGAAUUACUGGGCGUAAAGCGCACGCAGGCGGUCUGUCAAGUCGGAUGUGAAAUCCCCGGGCUCAACCUGGGAACUGCAUUCGAAACUGGCAGGCUUGAGUCUUGUAGAGGGGGGUAGAAUUC